RNAcentral lists this long non-coding RNA (4264 nucleotides) under Sus scrofa (pig). RNAcentral describes it as "lncRNA (ENSSSCG00030007831.1)". Lineage: Eukaryota; Metazoa; Chordata; Mammalia; Artiodactyla; Suidae. The record is from RNAcentral.
UUUUUUUUUUUUUUUUUUUUUUGGCCUUCCCCAUGGCAUGGGAAAGUUCCCAGGCCAGGGAUCAAACUCAUGCCACAGCUGUAACCAGAGCCACAGCAAUGACAACACCAGAUUCUUAACCCACUAUGCCACCAGGGAACUCCACAGGAUUUGAUUCCUAAGGGCAUUCAGUUGGCUGGGAAGAAACCUAUCAACUGGAAUAGGGCUCAGGGUGGUAUCCAGGGGCGGGAGGAAAACCCCUCGGCCUUCCCGUGUACACAAAUGUGAACCUGGGGGCAGUGGAAGGGAGGGCCACUUUAAGCUCCAUUUCACUUCCCAGAGCACCCAGACAACAGGAGAAAGUGACAGAAGUUGGAGGGAGGGCCCGCCGUGCCAGAGGUGGGGUCUGCAUUUUGGAUGUUAGGGAUCUGGAGGUGGAUGCCAGGGAGGAUAGAUGAAGAGAAAGAACUGUCAGUGUUCUGGCUUCAGGGAUUCAGGAUCAACCAACUUCCAGUGAUGAUGCACCCCCAACCCAGUGACAUGGACGAACUGCGCUGGGUUUCAAAGACCAUGCCCACAGUGGAGAGAAGGGCUCCAAGCCAAUCAGCAUCCAUACCGCCUGCAGGAGGGCCCCUGGACAGGGGUGCCCCAAUGGUACUGGAAGGGAGCUAAGGGACACAGUGUCCUGGCUCAUGCUCACUGGUCAUACACGUGAAAGAAGCAGAGAACCUGGAGGAGCCUCGGCUGAACCUGACUGUGGGGGGUAAAAAGGCUAACUCUCUGGAGUUCCUGCUGCGGUGCAAUUGGAUCGGUGAUGUCUCUGCAGCGGCAGGAUGCAGGUUCAAUCCCCAGCCAGGCACACUGCUGCCACAGCUGUGGCUUAGGUCCCAAGUGUGGCACAGAUCUGAUCUCUGGCCUGAGAACUCUAUGGAGUAUGCUCUAUGGCCAUGCAGCCAAAAAAGGAGGAGAAAAACCAAAAAAGGUUGACUUUCUUUUUUUCCUUAGAGCCACACCACAGCAUAUGGAGGUUCCCAGGCUAGGGGUCGAAUCGGAGCUACAGCUGCUGGCCAACACCACAGCCACAGCCACGCCAGAUCUGAGCUGCAUCUGCGCCCUACACCACAGGUCAUGGCAACACCGGAUUCUUAACCCACUGAGCGAGGAGGCCAGGGAUCGAACCCACAACUUCAUGGUUCCUAGUUGGAUUCAUUUCCACUGUGCCGUGACAGGAACUCCAAAAAAAAGGUUGACUUUCUUUUUUUUUUUUUUUUGUCUUUUUUUUUGUUGUUGUUGUUGUUGUUGCUAUUUCUUGGGCCGCUCCUGCGGCAUAUGGAGGUUCCCAGGCUAGGGGUUGAAUCGGAGCUGUAGCCACCGGCCUACGCCAGAGCCACAGCAACGCGGGAUCCGAGCCGCGUCUGCAACCUACACCACAGCUCACGGCAACGCCAGAUCGUUCGUUAACCCACUGAGCAAGGGCAGGGACCGAACCCGCAACCUCAUGAUUCCUAGUCGGAUUCGUUAACCACUGCGCCACGACGGGAACUCCCCAAGGUUGACUUUCUAGUGGACACAGUGUCCACCUACUCAGCCUUGAACACCGACAAAGCAAAAAGACGAAGGAUAACUCUAAGAUAAAGCGAGCAGAAGGGAGGCCGCAGGGAUAUAACUUUAUAGAGCCCCUGGAGUAGGAUGCAGAAGGUAGAAUGCUGUCUCACUCUUACACGUACCAGAACGCCGCUCAGCUCCCCUCAAAGGAAAAGAUGCACUAUACAAACUGGGAGCUACAAUUCACCUCAGAGACCAACGCCUUACCAUCGCAACACCCAAAGCUCCCUUCCAUUUUGCAGCCCAAGUGCGACUGCCCUCUGCCAAGAAUAACAGCCUGAUUGACCCUGAGGGUCCCCAGUAGGGACCCGGGACACCAUGGGCAGAGUCAGAAGGGCACCGCCCCUCGUAGUCAGGCUGUGACCCAGUCACAAUCACCCAAAUAAAAACACAAUACCUCUUAAGCAAAGAAGCCUUAGCAACACAAAGCCUCCUCAAGCAAGAGCUCCUUAGACCCCGCUGGCCCCCUUGCAACACUCCUCUUCUGCUGGUAAAGGAGCCAAAUGGGAAGCUCAGGACCUCUGGGCUGUAAAUGAAGCUACAGAGGAGAUUCACACUGUGGUGCCCAACACAUCACCGCUCUACCUACGCCCUGAGAGGACCUGGUACUCCGGGUUAGAGGCCCUCUUGCGUGUGCCCCUAGCUCCAGAAUCUCAAUACAUUUUUGCGCUUGGGUGGCAGAAACCCUGACAGCAUGGGAAAAUAACAAUUGUGCUGAAUGUUUCUGUAUCUCCAAGGAUUUAAAACCUCCCUAUGGUUUUUUUUUUUUUUAUAUUUUUUAGGGCCGCACCCACAGCAAGCACAUGGAGGUUCCCAGGCUAGGGGUCUAAUCCGAGCUAUAGCUGCCAGGCUACACCACAGCCACAGCAACGCCAGAUCCGAGCUGCAUCCUCGAACUAUACCACAGCUCACGGCAACACUGGAUCCUCAACCCACUGAGCGAGGCCAGGGAGUGAACCCACAUCCAGAUACUCGUCGGGUUUGUUACUGCUGAGCCAAGGACGUUGGUCACCUCAAGUUAGAACAGGGAGCUAUUCAACAGUGGAUGACAUUUCACCACCAGCCCCACCAAAGAGCUUCCUCACCACGAUGCAGUUAAGGUCUUAAAUCACCGGCUGAGGGAGGAUACAGCUGCAGAGGAGAAAGCGCACACCUCCCUCUGGCAGGUAGAACACUUAGGGUUCAUUACAGAAAAGGGGCAAAGGGCCCUGUACAGGGAGAGGAAAGAGGGACCCCCAGUUGUGACCAGGCAUUUCUGGAACUGAAAAACCAUCUCAUGAGACCCCCAAGUUAGCUCCUCUGACCUGAGCCAUCCCGUCCACACAUACAUGCAUGAGAAAGGAGGAGCUGCCCUGAGCGUUUACACAAUCGGGGACCUCUGACUCAGGCUGCAGCCUAUUUUUCUAAAACUGGUCCAAAGCACGAAAGGAGGACCCCAUGCUUAAGGGAGGGGGUCCUCAAUGAGGCUGACAAAUUAACCUCUGGACAGUCCCUGACCCCCACUAGCUCCAGCUUCUCAUAAAGAAAGGGGGCACACGGGUCAAACCCUCCAAGUCCAAGUCAGGCUUCUCUAAGAUCCUUCUCUCUUCCUACCAGUUCCCCCAGAACUGAAGUCCUACACUCCCACCUACACCCCAGAAAAAAGGGGAAGGGCUUUGAGGUGGAGCUUUUUUUUUUUGGCUUUUUAGGGCCAUGUCCGGGCCACAUGGAAGUUCCCAGCAUAGGGGUCGAAUCAGAGCUGUGGCCGCCGGCCUAUGCCACAGCCAAACGGGACCUGAGCCCUAUGACCUACCCCGCAGCUCAUGGCAACGCCAGAUCCUUCCUUACCCCACUAAGCAAGGCCACAGAUCGAACCUGCAUCUUCAUGGAUAUUCGUUGGAUUCAUUUCCAUUGCACCACCACGGGAACUCCCCAGAUGGGGCUAUUUUAAAAGCCCAGGAUUCCCAGGGUGGGUGGUUAUGACCAUGGGCAGCUGCCCCUCCCAUUGGCCACUGCACUGCGCCAGCCGGGACGCCCGCCAGAGCACAAUCACAGGCAGGGGGCCCCCAUACUGAUUGCUCAUCACGUCCAUGACGGCCCCGUUUCUCAUGCCUCCUUCAACAGGUGGUUAAAGCUUGCCUGUCCGCCUCUGGAAUAAGCCCACCACUCACCACAUGCACCCCCCACCCCCAGAAAGGUCAAGGGAAUGACCAACACCCAGCAUAGAGCCACAUACCCAGGUCAAGACAGAUACACUGAUUUGGGGGGGGUGGGCAUGUAGAAGUUUCAAGACCAGGGAUCAAACCUCCACCACAGCAGAGAUAGCACCAGAUCCUCAACCCACUGCACCACCAGGGAACUGCCUGGCAAACUGAUUUUACAGUAAUAUCCUGGCCACAAGGAAAUCUUAGCUAUCUGCAGGGUUUUGACCGACAUGUUCUCAGGCUGGAUGGAGGUCAUCCCCAUCGAACCAACACUGCCCUGGAGGUCUGUCUCGAUGGCGCUGCUCAAGGGACAAAUCCUGGGUUUGGGCUAAGUCCAUCCAGAGCGACAAUGGCCUCCCUCUGUUUCAGACUACCGAGGGAGUCCCUAGAGCUCUAAGAAUUAAAUGGGGUUUACGUCCCAUUCGGAAACCACAGUCCUCAAGAAAAGUAGAAUAAGUCAAACCCUCCAGAGAAACUGAGCCAAACUCUGUCAAGAC